Molecule: ribosomal RNA, 432 nt
Filed under: Theileria sp.
Lineage: Eukaryota; Apicomplexa; Aconoidasida; Piroplasmida; Theileriidae
Description: SSU rRNA
Rfam family: Eukaryotic small subunit ribosomal RNA
Source: RNAcentral
GGGAAUUUAAACCUCUUCCAGAAGUAUCAAUUUCGGAGGGCAAGUCUGGUGCCAGCAGCCGCGGUAAUUCCAGCUCCAAUAGCGUAUAUUAAAUUUGUUGCAGUUAAAAAGCUCGUAGUUGAAUUUCUGCUGCAUUACAUUUCUCUUGUUUGAGUAUGUUAUCGUGGCUUAUUUCGGAUUGAUUUUUAUCAUUCCGGAUGAUUACUUUGAGAAAAUUAGAGUGCUCAAAGCAGGCUUUUGCCUUGAAUAGUUUAGCAUGGAAUAAUAGAGUAGGACUUUGGUUCUAUUUUGUUGGUUUUAGGUACCAAAGUGAUGGUUAAUAGGAACAGUUGGGGGCAUUCGUAUUUAACUGUCAAAGGUGAAAUUCUUAGAUUUGUUAAAGACGAACUACUGCGAAAGCAUUUGCCAAGGAUGUUUUCAUUAAUCAAGAAC